AGAGUUUGAUCAUGGCUCAGAACGAACGCUGGCGGCGUGCCUAACACAUGCAAGUCCGACGUGAAAGGGGAGCAAUCCCCCGGUAGGGUGGCAAACGGGUGAGUAAGACAUGGGUGAUCUGCCCUGGAGAUGGGGAUAUCCCUCCGAAAGGGGGGGCAAUACCGAAUAGUAUCCGGUUCCGUGAAGGGGGCCGGGGAGAGGGAGGCCUCUGGUACAAGCUUCCGCUCCUGGAUGAGCCCAUGGCCCAUCAGCUAGUUGGUAGGGUAAAGGCCUACCAAGGCGACGACGGGUAGCUGGUCUGAGAGGACAACCAGCCACACUGGCACUGAGACACGGGCCAGACUCCUACGGGAGGCAGCAGUGAGGAAUAUUGCGCAAUGGGGGCAACCCUGACGCAGCAACGCCGCGUGUGGGAAGAAGGCUUUCGGGUUGUAAACCACUUUUGCCCGGGACGAAAGGGGGGACCUGAAUAAGGUUGCCCGAUGACGGUACCGGGGAGAAUAAGCCACGGCUAACUCUGUGCCAGCAGCCGCGGUAAGACAGAGGUGGCAAGCGUUGUUCGGAGUUACUGGGCGUAAAGAGUCUGUAGGUGGUCUGUCAAGUCUUUGGUGAAAGGCCGUGGCUUAACCAUGGGAAUGCCAAAGAGACUGGCAGACUGGAGGCUGGGAGAGGGAAGCGGAAUUUCUGGUGUAGCGGUGAAAUGCGUAGAUAUCAGAAGGAAGGCCGGUGGCGAAGGCGGCUUCCUGGAACAGACCUGACACUGAGAGACGAAAGCGUGGGGAGCAAACAGGAUUAGAUACCCUGGUAGUCCACGCCCUAAACGAUGGGUACUAAGUGUGGGAGGGUUAAACCUCCCGUGCCGCAGCCAACGCAGUAAGUACCCCGCCU
RNAcentral lists this ribosomal RNA (888 nucleotides) under uncultured bacterium. RNAcentral describes it as "bacterial SSU rRNA". It matches the Rfam family "Bacterial small subunit ribosomal RNA", at positions 9 to 873 of the family's 1533-position model. The record is from RNAcentral.